Molecule: non-coding RNA, 1742 nt
Organism: Momordica charantia (bitter melon)
Lineage: Eukaryota; Viridiplantae; Streptophyta; Magnoliopsida; Cucurbitales; Cucurbitaceae
Source: RefSeq, a predicted model, not a curated record
AUAGAUAAAAUUAUUCUGAAAACGAAAUCAAAUGAGAUACUAAAGCAUCUCUUCCGGGGAAAAAAUGAGUUCUGACACAACUUUUCUUUCAUAAUACCUUGAGGACAAAUUCCACCCUAACUAAGCUAAUUUUGUGCACGACAGCACAGUUGAAGGUCGUGGUAACAUCAGGGUCGAAAACAAAGAUCACGAUCGCAAAUUACUUGCAAAUAUUAAAGCAAUGUUUGACACGAACGUAGUGUCGAGUCUAGAAGGGGAUUUGAUGAUAUUAGAGAGAGUAGUAUUUUCUUGUUUUCCAAUCUGAGGCAGUCUAUAAAAGAUAAUGAGAGUAGAGCAGUGAAUCGGGGAAGUGAUGGGAGGGCGACAAGUGUGGAUUUAGCAGAAAAGAGAGAGAGAUGAGAGAAAAUGGGCAUUUUGGAAAUGCGUAUCUGUUCUUCUACUGCAUUCCCAUUUCCAGAAUAUAUUCCCAAUCCCAUAUCCCUAUCCCCUAUCCCCUCUAUCCCUAUCCCUCUGCUUAUCUCACAUGCCCUUUGCCUAUAAAUGCACCUUAUUCUCAACUCAACAAAUGCAGAACAUGACACAAAAAUAUGUAUAUAUGCAACAAAUAAGCUGUCUCUGUGUAGAGUAUAGAGGAAGAGUGGUGGUGCAUGAGAAUGCAGAGGGUGGGUGGUGGUUGUAGCCAAGGAUGACUUGCCUGCAUGCAACUUUCUACAAGCAUAUCAGUUCAUAUGUACAAGAACAAGCCACAGACACAGACUCACAAACAAAACAAAGCUACUCAAGAGUUUAUUAAUUAACAGUUAUGUUUGGUGUUGUGUUGUGUUGUGUUGUGUCUGUGUCGUGGGUUGUCUUACAGGCGGUCUCCUUGGCUAACAACACACCCUCUCAUCUCUCAUGCUCCACCAUUUCUCUUCCCCUUUUGUUCUUUUCUUCUAACCUCCCUUUGGAUUUCUGCCCAUCUUUUUCAUAUCCAACGCUCAGCAACUUUGACCUUCAUGGUAGACCCCUGCAAAUCUAACCUUUUAAUGAUGGAUUGAUGAUAUAGAUCAGAGAGUGGGGCAUGACUUUUCAAUUCAAAGAACUAGUCUUUCAACUCAAGGCUUCACAAUCAUAGAUCUCUUUUAUUUAAUUCAUUAGUUUAUUUUCACAUUGAUAUAUAUUUUGUUAUUUUUUAAUGAUUAAAUCAUGAAGAGAAUCUAAGAGUUUAGACGGAAAUACUGGAAAGAGAACAAAUCGUCAUGUCUGUUGAUUUGAUCAAACUGAUCAUCAAAUGUGCUCAAUGGAAGCCCUUCAAAGACUUCUCACAAAGAUGUGGCAUGGGCGACACGACACCAAAACAAACCCAUAAAAAAAUUGGUCCAAAGAACUAGACUUCAUAGCACCAUGCAUAAUAAGAUUAUGUAAUAUAGCUCAUGUAGUUUGAAGGGUGCUCUUUAUUUUAUUUUAUAUUUGGGGAUGAUUUUGAGAUGACUUUAGAAGGAAAAUUAGUGUUUUGCACUUUACGAGGAUGGAUAAGAUGCGGAAAAAAAAAAACAUAGAAUCCAAUGGAAUUCCUUCAAAAGGAAGGAAAGGGCGCAUCAGAAAAAGCAGAACAUAGCCAUAGCACAUAAGAUGUGUGCACUGUUAUUCAAAUUACUUUUCAAGUACUUCACAGGAUGACCAGAAAUGGUCUUUACUUUCUACACUACCAACUUCUUUUCCUAGCAGAAAACCAAAGAGAGGACGACCAAAACAUCAAAUAA